CCAUCAAGGUAUAUGAAUAAGCGAAGCUAUCCCGAAGAGGCUAUCCGGCUGGAAAGAUGGCUUUUCCCCAGUGGAGAUAGCUUAGGGGAAUAAGGGAGUAAGGCAAGUCUGAGUGCCAGCASCCGCGGGUAAUCAAAUAA
Molecule: ribosomal RNA, 140 nt
Filed under: uncultured crenarchaeote
Lineage: Archaea; Thermoproteati; Thermoproteota
Description: 16S ribosomal RNA
Source: RNAcentral